GUGCCAGCCGCCGCGGUAAUACGGAGGGGGCUAGCGUUGUUCGGAAUUACUGGGCGUAAAGCGCACGUAGGCGGCUUUGCAAGUUAGAGGUGAAAGCCCGGGGCUUAACCCCGGAAUUGCCUUUAAAACUGCAUCGCUAGAAUUGUGGAGAGGUGAGUGGAAUUCCGAGUGUAGAGGUGAAAUUCGUAGAUAUUCGGAAGAACACCAGUGGCGAAGGCGACUCACUGGACACAUAUUGACGCUGAGGUGCGAAAGCGUGGGGAGCAAACAGGAUUAGAAACCCUAGUAGUCC
This 292-nucleotide ribosomal RNA is filed under the name uncultured bacterium. Its description in RNAcentral is "partial 16S ribosomal RNA". It matches the Rfam family "Bacterial small subunit ribosomal RNA", at positions 505 to 796 of the family's 1533-position model. The record is from RNAcentral.